AAAUAAUUCAUUAGAAACCUUUCUUACUGUUUAACAUUACUAAUACAUGUUCGUAUAUUGCUAUCCCAGCAUCUCUGACACAUUAAUAUUGUGACUUCUUUUACAGAACAGUGAAUACAAAAAAGAGGAGAGGAUUCAAGAAGAUACGAGCCAUCAACGUGCAAGUAGGACUGUAAGUGAUAAAGGAAAACUCAUUGAAAAAGAGGAAAGAGACACAAGACAAGAGGAAAUGAAAGAUACAUACAUCUAUAAUUCAGACAUGGGAGUUGAUAACUUUUCAGCAAAUUACGAAGAUGAUUUUGAAGUAAGUAAAAGCAUAGAGUUGUCCUUUUGAAACAAUUCUCAAGUAUCAAAACUACAGGAUGUUACAUGGUUUUCACUUACUCUUUUUUGGUGACAGUCACCUUAAC
RNAcentral lists this long non-coding RNA (410 nucleotides) under Calidris pygmaea (Spoon-billed sandpiper). Its description in RNAcentral is "lncRNA (ENSCPGG00000005312.1)". Lineage: Eukaryota; Metazoa; Chordata; Aves; Charadriiformes; Scolopacidae. The record is from RNAcentral.